RNAcentral lists this ribosomal RNA (467 nucleotides) under uncultured bacterium. Its description in RNAcentral is "partial 16S ribosomal RNA". It matches the Rfam family "Bacterial small subunit ribosomal RNA", at positions 28 to 507 of the family's 1533-position model. The record is from RNAcentral.
GAUGAACGCUGACAGAAUGCUUAACACAUGCAAGUCGACUUGAAUUUGGGUUUUUAACCUAGGUUUGGGUGGCGGACGGGUGAGUAACGCGUAAAGAACUUGCCUCACAGCUAGGGACAACAUUUGGAAACGAAUGCUAAUACCUAAUAUUAUGAUAAUAGGGCAUCCUAUAAUUAUGAAAGCUAUAAGCGCUGUGAGAGAGCUUUGCGUCCCAUUAGCUAGUUGGAGAGGUAACGGCUCACCAAGGCGAUGAUGGGUAGCCGGCCUGAGAGGGUGAUCGGCCACAAGGGGACUGGGACACGGCCCGUACUCCAACGGGGGGAAGCGGUGGGGAAUAUUGGACAAUGGACCGAGAGUGUGAUCCAGCAAUUCUGUGUGCACGAUGAAGUUUUUCGGAAUGUAAAGUGCUUUCAGUUGAGAAGAAACAAAUGACGGUACCAACAGAAGAAGUGACGGCUAAAUACGUG